UGCGAUUAUUUAUAUAGAAUUGCAUUGUUAUGUGUUUCUAAAAAUAGUCAAUUUAAAGAAAUAACACGACUAUUCAAGUUUUCUUAAAAUUAUUUCCAUGGAGAUGUGUUAUUCGUUUUGGAAGGAAAGGUAAGUUAAGUCCUAGGUAUAUUGGGCCUUAUCAGAUAACAUAACGAGUGGGACCAGUAGCCUAUAGACUUGAAUUGCCAACAGAACUUACUCGAAUACAUGAUGUUUUUCAUGUAUCCAUGUUAAGGAAAUAUAUACCAGAACCAUCACUUGUGUUGCGAGAGCAACCAGUUGAGUUGAAAGAAGAUUUGAGUUAUGAUGAAGAAGCAGUUCGAAUCCUUGAUAGAAAAGAACAAGUUUUGAGGAACAAGACGGUUCCACUCGUAAAGGUUUUGUGGAGACAUCACGGAGUGGAGGAGGCAACUUGGGAACCAAAAGAUCAGAUGAAGAAGAGAUACUCGACACUUUCAGUUAAGAACAUCUAAAUUUCGAGACGAAAUUUUCUAAGGGGAAGAGAAGGCAAAGUAGGUGUUUUCCACGCGAAAUCAGAUAUCCUCUGGUCUUUUGAGUUUUCUGGUGUGUAUACGUUGAGGGACAAGUUGAAGGUCUGUAGAGUGCGCAAUUUUGGAGUGGUUUUGUUUCGUGGUUAGAUUCUGUUGUUGACGUUGAGUGUAUUCCGUAACAACUAUGCUAUCAUGAAUGUUGGGUGGACCCCACUACGACAAAGACGAUGGGAGUAUUGGGCGAGCCCCACUACAUCAUAAAGCUUGUAAAGGUAGAGUUCGAGUUCCCGGUACCUAAUAGACUGCCUUAGUCUGCUGAAGCUCCAAUAUCGAUUGUCAGUACGUGGUUAGAGUUGUACAUAAAGUUUGUUGUGAUAUAAUGUAUAUGUCUUUAUAUGAUUUAGAUACACUAGAGUUUGUGUAAGCUCUAGGAGUUGCGGUUGUGUAAAUCUUUGUUGGUUAUGUUUUGGUUAAGUUGUCUCCAAGUUUAUUUGCAAAAUCAGUUAUUUUCAGGUUACACUUCAUGUAUGUAUAUGAUUAGUCUAGGUUCCGAUGUGUUAUGUUGC
Long non-coding RNA from Cucumis melo (muskmelon), 1078 nucleotides. RefSeq lists it as uncharacterized. NCBI's taxonomy places the organism in Eukaryota, Viridiplantae, Streptophyta, Magnoliopsida, Cucurbitales, Cucurbitaceae. The transcript is spliced from 5 exons. The record is from RefSeq and is a predicted model, not a curated record.